Molecule: ribosomal RNA, 1149 nt
Filed under: Triticum aestivum (bread wheat)
Lineage: Eukaryota; Viridiplantae; Streptophyta; Magnoliopsida; Poales; Poaceae
Description: partial small subunit ribosomal RNA
Source: RNAcentral
AUGCCAAGGCGUUUAGCGGAUGCCACCGGCGGUGGCCGUGCAGCCAAGCGUCCUCGCCAGCGGCGGAAGCACCUCUACCUUGUCACGGAAGACUGGGAACAGGGAUACAGCAUCCGCAAGGUAGACCUGGAGGAGGAUUACGACGCCAACAUCCACACCUUGGACAAGGAACAAGCAGGCAACAGCCCACGUAAACACUCCGACCGGCGCUUGCCACCGGCGGUCUUCCGCCUGGAGGCUCCGCACCAAGGCGCCGACCACUUCACGGCGGCCUUCGGCACCAAGAUCAUGGCCUUGCACCACACGCCCAGGCGCUACGUCCCCGUCUUCGACGUCCGCACGCGGUGCCUCAGCUUCGGCCCCCGGAUGCGGAGGGACCCGAGCACCCCAAUCUACGUACCCGUCGCGGACAGGCUCUACGGCCUGGAUUUCGACACCUUCGAGAUGCUCCAUCCGCCUCCGCCGCUCGUCGACCCCAACUGCGGCAUGGACGUGCCCAAGUGGCGGUCGUGGCGCCGCCUCCCGCCGCCGCCCUUCAAGCGCGAGCGCGUCACCUCUCACGCCGUGCACCCCGACGGACGAACCAUCUUCGUCAGCAUCGACGGCAAGACCGGCGCCACGUUCAGCUUCGAUACCAUGGCGAGCUCCCCACGUUGGACGCGCAGCGGCAGCUGGAAGCUGCCCUUCAAGGGCCCCGCGCACUAUGACUGUGACUUGGACGCCUGGGUUGGCCUCGCCCGAGACCCGGACAUGCUCGGCCGCCUCUGCUCCUGUGACGUGCCUUCUACUGAUGAUGACGACGGCUGCAGACAGCUCCCGGCCUGGAAGCUCAGCAAGGAGAAGCUCUUCUGUCAGGACCCAGACGAGAAGCACAUCGGCGCCGCCCUUGUUUGCCUGGGCACGGGCUGCAGAAGCAAGUUCUGUGUCGUGCAGUGUCUCUCCCUGGACGACCGUGAGGAGGGCAUGUACAAGGAGUACCUGCCCGAGCGCGAGCGCUACCUGCUUCGACUGACCACGUUCUCGCUGGCGUAUGACAAGAAUGGCGACCUGCGCACCGCCGCGCGCCGCCGCGUUCGAUCCUUUGAACUGCCCAAGUCAGUGGCGGAAAACUCUGCCUUCUUGGUGGAUCCUGUGGCAUUCUGGAUGUAA